RNAcentral lists this long non-coding RNA (503 nucleotides) under Mytilus galloprovincialis (Mediterranean mussel). Lineage: Eukaryota; Metazoa; Mollusca; Bivalvia; Mytilida; Mytilidae. The record is from RNAcentral.
CUUCCUAAGUCACGAAUUUGAUGUUCAGUAGUUGUCCUUUGUUGAUGUGGUUCAUAAGUGUUUCUCGUUUCUUGUUUUUUAUAUAGAUUAGACCGUUAGUUUUCCUGUUUGAAUGGUUUUACACUAGUAAUUUUUGGGGCCCUUUAUAGCUUGCAGAGCGGUGUGAGCCAAGGUUCCGUGUUGAAGACCGUACUAUAACCUAUAAUGGUUUACUUAUAAAUUGUGACUUGGUUGGAGAGUUGUCUCAUUGGCACUUAUACCACAUCUUCAUAUAUCUAUAUACGGCAAUACUAUUUGGGUUGGACAGAUCAUUCACACAUCCUACAGCUCAUCAGUCUUACAAAAGUCAGACUAUUAAAGAGCGUAUGGUACUUUGACAAGUUAUUGCACAGCUUUCAACAAUGAGAAGUAAAUACCUUAGUUACCUAUACCUUUUUAUCUUACAUUUGUACUAGUAUUCAGAAUAUUUUAAGUCUAUAAUAUAAAAUUAUAUUCUUUUUUAU